ACUGAGGCCCCCAUUUCUCCACAGGCUGCCCCUGCGUCUCCAAGACCUUUCUUUUCCAAGGACACCUUGCCUGGCCCAGGUGACAUCUAUUCCUGCGGUGAUGGUGGCCUCUCCACUGUGUGUUGGGGAACAGAGGAGAGGGACGCGGAGAAGAGGUGCUGGGCUGGAUGGAGCAGAGCUGGUGACCAAUGCCAGGAGCUCUGGCACAGUGGUGGCGGCUCUCUCAUUCAGAUCCCACCCACACUUGAGGCCCAAACGAGAAGGGAGCUAGAGGGUGGGAGGGGGUGUCAGGUAGCCUGGAGCCGCCCCCACUCUCCCCUUCCCUCCCACUUCUCUACUAGAGUUGGCUUGGACUGCUGCUUCUGUGCCUCAUGGGCAGAUCUGGGUAGAGCUGGGAGACCCUCAGUUCCCACUGAGAACAGAAAAUCCUCCUACCUCCAUCCCAGUCAGGAUGAGGUGGGUGUGGGGUGGGUGAGGCGGCGGAGCGGUCGCUCAGGAAGCCAACUGCAGUCAGAGCUGGAUUUUAAUCCCUGCUCCACCACUGAGGGGAACUUUGGCUCAACGAGUAAAAUAAUCUGCCCAUGGGGAUCUGUUGCUUUAGAAGUGAUCUUUCUAAAUUGCAAAAAUGAUUGUGACUCUCCUUCCAAAGAGUCCCCCUUAGCUGCACAUAAAUGUGUCACGGAGUGAUGUAGCAUGACCUAAUGCAGUGUGGCCUGCAAGAGUUCUGAAAGCAGACAACCCUAGACUCAAGCUGCAGCUAUUACUUGCUGGAUAACCUUGGGAAUGUUCCAUACCCUCUAUGAGCCUCCGUUUCCUCAUCAAGGAGAUGGGAAUGACAGUACUUACCUCCCACGGUUUUUGUGAAGAAUGACUAAGACUAUGGAAAGCACAAGAGUACUCAGAAAAUAUCGAGUGCACAUAUCCAACAACCCAGCAAUUCCACUACUAAGGGGGCACCCUCGUGAAACACAUGUGCAAACACCAUCAUACAAGAAUAUUCACUGUCUGAAUAGCAAGACACUGGGAACACUUCGACAUCCAUCAAGAAGGAUAAACAAAUGGAGGUGUCUACAUAGGGUGGUAUAUCACACAUCAGGGCAAGUGGGACAAGAGCUACAGGAUCAAGGCUAAAUCUGAGACCUGAAGUUGAGUGUGAAAACGCGAGCUGCAGCAUGACACAUGCUAUAGGACUCCAUUCACAGAAAACUUUGAAGAACAAACUACAUAUUUUUAAGACUUACACACACUGAGUAAAAGAAUAAAAACAGAGAAAUGAUAAAACCUAAA
Molecule: long non-coding RNA, 1287 nt
Filed under: Homo sapiens (human)
Lineage: Eukaryota; Metazoa; Chordata; Mammalia; Primates; Hominidae
Description: HSALNT0292137
Source: RNAcentral